GAUAACAACAAAAUCCUAUUCUAGGAUUCCCUAUUGGCAAUAGGGUUUACAACCUCGAUGUUGGAUCAGGACAUCCUAAUGGUGUAGCUGCUAUUAAGGGUUCAUUUAUUCAAUGAUUAAAGUCCUACCUGAUCUGAGUUCAGACCGGAGUAAUCCAGGUU
This 161-nucleotide non-coding RNA is filed under the name Macaca mulatta (Rhesus monkey). RNAcentral describes it as "Bacterial large subunit ribosomal RNA". It matches the Rfam family "Bacterial large subunit ribosomal RNA", at positions 2473 to 2632 of the family's 2925-position model. RNAcentral also lists the same sequence under 1 other name. The record is from Rfam by way of RNAcentral. Lineage: Eukaryota; Metazoa; Chordata; Mammalia; Primates; Cercopithecidae.